UUUAUUUGAUAAUUUAAUACAUUUUGGUGCAACUGUUUUCGUUUUCGUCGUUACAAGCCAGAGAACAAUAAAAAAGGUGACGCACAGCCAACAACAACAACAACAACAACACCAACAGCAGCAGCAACAACAAUGGCAGCAACAAUAACAACAAUGGCAACACUUGUGCGUAUGUCUCCGACUACGACUGCGACUUUGACUGCGAGUUGGGGUGCUACAAAUAGUGAAAUAGCCCAACGUACAUCGUAAAUAUUUCAACUGCAACAACUGGGGAACAAGAGCAACAAGAACAACACAGGCAACAUGGACAGCAGCAGCAAUAACGAGCAGCAGUAGCAAGCGAGAAGCUGGAACCGGAGCAGGAGCAGCAGCAGCAGCAGCAGCAGCAGGACGACAAGGAUGCUGCUGCGGGGCUAGGCAGAGAAUCGAUAGAUUGCACCUGGUACCUAGUACGUAGAAAUGUCCCAAACCAGAACCAGAACCAGAACCUCUACAACCUGCGACACCAACAAAACCAGCAAGCAACAAGACCAUCAACAAAAGAAAAAAUAAUAAAAAAAGCAGCAACAACAAAAAACAACAUUCAACAAAAACAAUAAAGGAGCAAGUCGAACUGGGUUUUGGUGCCAACACUGCCACCUCCGCCAGCUCCGCUCCACAUCGCCCAGCUCACCCUGCACGCCCAGCUCGUGCCACCUCAGCUCAGUUGAGCGUUGUGCUCAGCAGUUUUGGUCCGUUCCCCUGACUCGCAACCCAUGCGAAAAUUUGAAGCGAUUUAUUUACUUUUUGCCAUUGCCAUUGCCAUUUGCCGCUGCCGCUGCCGCUGCCGCCGCUGCUCCUCGUCUUGCUCGCCUCGUCGUUGUAUUUUUUUGGCAAAUGCUCUGCAGCAACAAAUUGUGGCAUAUGGACAUUAAAAGCAAUUUUAAUCAGGAUUUCGUACUUACUAUACUACUGGAAGCUUGGCCGAGUGCUCACUGCAGUCGCCUAUAAAUCGCAAUUUUGUGAUAUUUUAUUAUCAAUUUGUAUCAAUAUUCUUGUAUAUA
Drosophila virilis is the source of this 1043-nucleotide non-coding RNA. The record is from RefSeq and is a predicted model, not a curated record. Lineage: Eukaryota; Metazoa; Arthropoda; Insecta; Diptera; Drosophilidae.